Neodiprion virginianus is the source of this 703-nucleotide long non-coding RNA. RefSeq lists it as uncharacterized. The transcript has 2 exons. NCBI's taxonomy places the organism in Eukaryota, Metazoa, Arthropoda, Insecta, Hymenoptera, Diprionidae. The record is from RefSeq and is a predicted model, not a curated record.
AUAUCGCUGCGGGAGUAAAAAUACGAUAGUGAUAAGCAAGGCAUCGACUUACGAUAAGGUUUUGGAGUACACUUCAAAAAAGCCGGGGAGCAACACGUGCAACUUUUAAUGGGAAUGCGAGAAUAGCCGGGAUGAAUGAAUCGACUGAAAAUUUCACGGAAGACUCAAACUCUACAAGGGUAAAAGCUAUUUUCAUGCAGAAAGGAAGCGGUGAACAUUAAUACGCAGGAAAUGAUUACUAUCCGAGUUUCCGGAUCGUCUAAUUCUCAAAUAAAUACAGAUUCUAGUUUCCAUAUAAACGAAUCAACUGAACCAAAGGAAUUCCUCUAUCAGAAAAUUCCAUCGCAUUCCAGGAUUGAACGGAACACGUCCUUUGAAGGGAAACGAAUAGUUUUCAGUCUAAAAUUUAACGGACCAGAAAUUGCUGAAUCAGUUUUCUUGUUUUCUCGCUGCAGAAAUACUCACGUAGAAAAACGGGAUGCAGGGAUGGAUAGAAUUAACUUUUUCCCAGACUGCUUGUCGAACAACACGUGUCAGCUGAUUGCGAUUAUUUUGUCACAGCGCACAACGUACUGUUUAAAUUACGUACGUCUAAACUAGUUAUUUAACAGGGUCACUGCACUAUAGUAUAAUAUAUUAUUCGCGUAGUGUCGAAACAGUUUAUUAGAAUAUUCUAGCUACUGUCUGCUCGGUUGUAAAUUUG